CUCACACUUCUUUUCUGGCAUUUAAGAACAAAACCUGUGUAAUGUAAACAGUGAAUGUUGGUGUUGCUUGCCAUUAUCACUGCUUCUGUUCCAUUUCUGCGGAAGCAGAAAUGCUUAAAGCUGUAAUAUUUUGAUUAGCAACAUAAUACCUGCAAUACCUAUAUUAUUUGUAGGUAUACUGAAAGAGAGACAUUUGGAAGGUCAAAUGUAGCCAAGUGGAAGUAUUGCUGUGAGCCCAAUCUUUUGCUGCUGCCAGGCUUGGUUCCUGCACAGAGCUUUCCACAUCUGGAUCAAAGAAACCAAGCAUGAAUGUUUUUCCCCUUUGAGCAACGUCAUGCCAGAUCUUUGACACAAAGCCAGAAUGGUGUGUGUAUUCAGAAGUUCAAAAUGGCUACAAUCCACAGAGACUGUAAAUGGGCCCCUAAUCUCACCUAACUUGCAGGUAUUUUUACAUUGCAGACACAGCUGAACCGGUCAUCUAGGUCCUCAUUUUAGCCAGGGGAGAAAAAAUGAACAUUUCUGUUGCACCAUUUUUUUUUUGGAAUUAAACAAAUUAUGAGCUUUUAGUUCUAUCAUGCUGGAAGACCCCAAAGGGAAUUUUUUUUUAUAGUCAUCUGAGGCUAUGUGGGAUUGACUGGAGCCAGACAGCCACAUGUGGACCCCAGUCUCAUCAUUUUGACACAGAAUUAUCCUGUCCAAGUCCAGACAUCUGACAAAAGAACCUGAGUUCAGACUACCAUUUUUCAGAAACCAUCAAAGAUUGAUGUCUUCCAAGAUCAAGACACUAAGCUGGACACAAGUAUUCCUGUCAAUUACUUCCAAUCACCCCCUGACCUUCUGCUGAGAUUUGUAGAUCAGAGGCAUAUAGUAGCCUCUCAUCAUGAAAAAUAGGGUGCUGUUAGUGCUGCCAUGCUUUGUACUGUGCACUCCUUCACCAAGCCCUGAGCCAUUGAGCUGCAUCUGCUGUCACAAGCUGCCCAGCUUUCUGCACCUCCCACAGCAGCCUUUGGUUCUGGGCAUCUCACCAGGGGCUCACCCGACCCAUGCAGCAGGAGGUAAAAGCAGCAGAGAACUCCAUCCAUCUCAGCACACCACUCAAGAUCGCAUUUCCUGGGUAAGACCAUCUGCACUUCAUCAGGCUACUCAGACCAGCUGUACCUCUUUCCUGACCUGCAGACACCUCUGCCCAGCAGGUUCUGAGUUUAUUUACUUCAGCCUGACAGCUACUCGGAGUAUAUGUCUCUCUUCACUAGCCAUUCAUGCAGCUCUGCAAACAACUGCAGCAUAA
This 1288-nucleotide long non-coding RNA is filed under the name Parus major (Great Tit). Its description in RNAcentral is "lncRNA (ENSPMJG00000014132.1)". The record is from RNAcentral. Lineage: Eukaryota; Metazoa; Chordata; Aves; Passeriformes; Paridae.